This 325-nucleotide ribosomal RNA is filed under the name uncultured eukaryote. Its description in RNAcentral is "partial 18S ribosomal RNA". It matches the Rfam family "Eukaryotic small subunit ribosomal RNA", at positions 1470 to 1796 of the family's 1831-position model. The record is from RNAcentral.
CCCCUAGAUGUUCUGGGCCGCACGCGCGCUACACUGAACAGUUCAACAAGUCUUAACCUUGGCCGAUAGGUCUGGGUAAUCUUUGAACGCUGUUCGUGAUUGGGAUAGACCUUUGCAAUUAUGGGUCUUCAACGAGGAAUUCCUAGUAAACGCAAGUCAUCAGCUUGCAUUGAUUACGUCCCUGCCCUUUGUACACACCGCCCGUCGCUCCUACAGAUUGAGCAGUCCGGUGAAUACUUCGGACCGUUUGCAUAGAUGGUUCGCCAUCUUUGCGAAUGGAAAGUCGAGUGAACCUUACUGCUUAGAUGAAGGAGAAGUCGUAACA